CGAAUGCUGACAUAAGUAACGAUAAAGCGGGUGAAAAGCCCGCUCGCCGGAAGACCAAGGGUUCCUGUCCAACGUUAAUCGGGGCAGGGUGAGUCGACCCCUAAGGCGAGGCCGAAAGGCGUAGUCGAUGGGAAACAGGUUAAUAUUCCUGUACUUGGUGUUACUGCGAAGGGGGGACGGAGAAGGCUAUGUUGGCCGGGCGACGGUUGUCCCGGUUUAAGCGUGUAGGCUGGUUUUCCAGGCAAAUCCGGAAAAUCAAGGCUG
This 264-nucleotide ribosomal RNA is filed under the name Escherichia coli. RNAcentral's name for it is "partial 23S ribosomal RNA". It matches the Rfam family "Bacterial large subunit ribosomal RNA", at positions 1291 to 1558 of the family's 2925-position model. The record is from RNAcentral. Lineage: Bacteria; Pseudomonadati; Pseudomonadota; Gammaproteobacteria; Enterobacterales; Enterobacteriaceae.